UACAGAGGUCCCAAGCGUUGUUCGGAUUCACUGGGCGUAAAGGGUGCGUAGGCGGUCGGGUAAGUCUGACGUGAAAUCUUCAAGCUCAACUUGGAAACUGCGUCGGAUACUAUUCGGCUAGAGGAAUGGAGGGGAGACUGGAAUACUUGGUGUAGCAGUGAAAUGCGUAGAUAUCAAGUGGAACACCAGUGGCGAAGGCGAGUCUCUGGACAUUUCCUGACGCUGAGGCACGAAAGCCAUGGGAGCAAACGGG
RNAcentral lists this ribosomal RNA (253 nucleotides) under uncultured bacterium. RNAcentral describes it as "partial 16S ribosomal RNA". It matches the Rfam family "Bacterial small subunit ribosomal RNA", at positions 524 to 776 of the family's 1533-position model. The record is from RNAcentral.